UUUCCGUAGGUGAACCUGCGGAAGGAUCAUUAGAGAUUUUGGAUUGCCGGCGGUGGCUAGCGUGACAUUCACGUGCCCACCGGCUCUCCGCAUACCAAACAACGUGAACAACCGGUGACGGCCCUGCCGUCGCCACCUUUACAACUGUCGUCCUAUGUCUUGAAAGCAAACAAAAGAGUACAACUCUCAACGAUGGAUCUCUUGGCUCUCGCAUCGAUGAAGAACGCAGC
Molecule: unclassified non-coding RNA, 230 nt
Filed under: uncultured fungus
Lineage: Eukaryota; Fungi
Description: sequence contains ITS1, 5.8S rRNA gene
Rfam family: 5.8S ribosomal RNA (bases 182-230)
Source: RNAcentral